CCCUGGGGCCUGGCUGGCCGGUCCCCCUCACCGGGUGCCCUGAUCCAGCCGGGCUUUUCCCUCGGUGGAACCCCAUGGCCUUCACUGGCUGGGGCGGGGAAACAGGACUUUUACUUUAAAAAAAUUAGAGGGCUCCAGGCAGGCCUAUGCUCGAAUACAUUAGCAUGAAAUAAUAGAAUGGGACGUGUGGUUCUAUUUUGUUGGUUUCUAGGACCGCCGUAAUGAUUAAUAGGGACAGUCGGGGGCAUCAGUAUUCAAUUGUCAGAGGUGAAAUUCUUGGAUCUAUUGAAGACUAACUACUGCGAAAGCAUUUGCCAAGGAUGUUUUCAUUGAUAAGGAACGAAAGUUAGGGGAUCGAAGACGAUCAGAUACCGUCGUAGUCUUAACUAUAAACUAUGCCGACUAGGGAUCGGACGAU
RNAcentral lists this ribosomal RNA (418 nucleotides) under Lomentospora prolificans. Its description in RNAcentral is "Scedosporium prolificans Eukaryotic small subunit ribosomal RNA". It matches the Rfam family "Eukaryotic small subunit ribosomal RNA", at positions 638 to 1061 of the family's 1831-position model. Lineage: Eukaryota; Fungi; Ascomycota; Sordariomycetes; Microascales; Microascaceae. The record is from Rfam by way of RNAcentral.